This 73-nucleotide transfer RNA is filed under the name Actinomycetota bacterium. Its description in RNAcentral is "tRNA-Arg". It matches the Rfam family "tRNA". From Rfam's summary of the family: Transfer RNA (tRNA) molecules are approximately 80 nucleotides in length. Their secondary structure includes four short double-helical elements and three loops (D, anti-codon, and T loops). The record is from RNAcentral. Lineage: Bacteria; Bacillati; Actinomycetota.
GGGUCUGUAGCUAAGGGGAAAAGAGCGACGCCCUACGAAGGCGUGAGCGGUGGUUCGAAUCCACCCGGACCCA